This 484-nucleotide ribosomal RNA is filed under the name uncultured bacterium. RNAcentral's name for it is "partial 16S ribosomal RNA". It matches the Rfam family "Bacterial small subunit ribosomal RNA", at positions 29 to 523 of the family's 1533-position model. The record is from RNAcentral.
AGUGAACGCUGGCGGCGUGCUUAACACAUGCAAGUCGAACGAGAACGGAUUAUAGCUUGCUAUAAUUGUCAGCUAAGUGGCGCACGGGUGAGUAAUGUAUAGGUAAUAUGCCUCUUACUAAGGGAUAACAAAUGGAAACGUUUGCUAAUACCUUAUACUCCUUAUUAACAGAAGUUAAUAAGGGAAAGAUUUAUUGGUAAGAGAUUAGCCUGUAUUGUAUCAGUUAGUUGGUGGGGUAAUGGCUUACCAAGACUAUGACACAUAACUAGUUUGAGAGGAUGAUCAGUCACACUGGAACUGGGACACGGUCCAGACUCCUACGGGAGGCAGCAGUGGGGAAUAUUGCACAAUGGACGGAAGUCUGAUGCAGCAACGCCGCGUGGAGGAUGACACAUUUCGGUGCGUAAACUCCUUUUAUAUGAGAAGAUAAUGACGGUAUUAUAUGAAUAAGCACCGGCUAACUCCGUGCCAGCCGCCGCAGUAA